AGCAAGGAUGGGAGCCUGCUGCACUGUACGUUUUUGGAGACAAAAGCAAUUUAAAGAAUUUAAAGAAAGAUUCGUAUCUUAAUAUUGAUUUCGUUCCUAUUGAGAUACCGGAUGUACGUGAUCUCAAAACCAGCUUACGUAAGUUGUUCAAAGUUUGCUGUCCCAGCAAUCCCCCUAAAGAUUUAACACAAGGUGAUCCAUUUUUCAAGUCGUUGCAAGAUACUGAUUGGUUGAAGCAGUUAUCGCUUGUACUUCGGAUAUCCGGUGCUGUCGUGGAUCUUUUGGACAUUCAGGGAUCAUCUGUUCUUGUCUCGUUUGAAGAUGGAUGGGACAUUACUACACAAGUAAGCUUCAUUUAAGCACCUACCUUAUGUUAUUUACUAAAGUUACUUGUUACGUAUGCUCCUAUAAACCAUUGAGGUCUUGCAAAGCAUCUUUUAUAUUGGGUCAUAUUUCAUGUAAGAUCUCCUUUUAGUAGCGU
This is a long non-coding RNA of Xenia sp. Carnegie-2017, 481 nucleotides long. RefSeq lists it as uncharacterized. The record is from RefSeq and is a predicted model, not a curated record. NCBI's taxonomy places the organism in Eukaryota, Metazoa, Cnidaria, Anthozoa, Malacalcyonacea, Xeniidae. The transcript has 4 exons.